Molecule: ribosomal RNA, 492 nt
Filed under: uncultured bacterium
Lineage: Bacteria
Description: partial 16S ribosomal RNA
Rfam family: Bacterial small subunit ribosomal RNA
Source: RNAcentral
AGUGAACGCUGGCGGUAGGCCUAACACAUGCAAGUCGAACGGCAGCACAGUAAGAGCUUGCUCUUACGGGUGGCGAGUGGCGGACGGGUGAGGAAUACAUCGGAAUCUACUUUUUCGUGGGGGAUAACGUAGGGAAACUUACGCUAAUACCGCAUACGACCUACGGGUGAAAGCAGGGGAUCUUCGGACCUUGCGCGAUUGAAUGAGCCGAUGUCGGAUUAGCUAGUUGGCGGGGUAAAGGCCCACCAAGGCGACGAUCCGUAGCUGGUCUGAGAGGAUGAUCAGCCACACUGGAACUUAGACACGGUCCAGGCUCCUACGGGAGGCAGCAGUGGGGAAUAUUGGACAAUGGGCGCAAGCCUGAUCCAGCCAUACCGCGUGGGUGAAGAAGGCCUUCGGGUUGUAAAGCCCUUUUGUUGGGAAAGAAAAGCAGCAGGUUAAUACCCCGCUGUUCUGACGGUACCCAAAGAAUAAGCACCGGCUAACUUCGUG